UUGCACGCUGGCGGCCUGCCUUACACAUGCAAGUCGAACGGCAGCACGGGUGCUUGCCCCUGGUGGCGAGUGGCGAACGGGUGAGUAAUACAUCGGAACAUGUCCUGUAGUGGGGGAUAGCCCGGCGAAAGCCGGAUUAGUACCGCAUACGAUCUACGGAUGAAAGCGGGGGACCUUCGGGCCUCGCGCUAUAGGGUUGGCCGAUGGCUGAUUAGCUAGUUGGUGGGGUAAAGGCCUACCAAGGCGACGAUCAGUAGCUGGUCUGAGAGGACGACCAGCCACACUGGGACUGAGACACGGCCCAGACUCCUACGGGAGGCAGCAGUGGGGAAUUUUGGACAAUGGGCGAAAGCCUGAUCCAGCAAUGCCGCGUGUGUGAAGAAGGCCUUCGGGUUGUAAAGCACUUUUGUCCGGAAAGAAAUCCUUGGCCCUAAUACGGUCGGGGGAUGACGGUACCGGAAGAAUAAGCACCGGCUAACUACGUG
RNAcentral lists this ribosomal RNA (485 nucleotides) under uncultured bacterium. RNAcentral describes it as "partial 16S ribosomal RNA". It matches the Rfam family "Bacterial small subunit ribosomal RNA", at positions 30 to 507 of the family's 1533-position model. The record is from RNAcentral.